Molecule: ribosomal RNA, 375 nt
Filed under: uncultured organism
Description: partial 16S ribosomal RNA
Rfam family: Bacterial small subunit ribosomal RNA
Source: RNAcentral
GAACCGUACGAACGUUAUUCGGAAUCACUGGGCUUAAAGGGUGCGUAGGCGGCCCGGAAAGUUGGGUGUGAAAUCCCUCGGCUCAACCGAGGAAUUGCGCCCAAAACUGUCGGGCUAGAGGGAGACAGAGGCGAGCGGAACUUAGGGUGGAGCGGUGAAAUGCGUUGAUAUCCUAAGGAACACCAGUAGCGAAGGCGGCUCGCUGGGUCUCUUCUGACGCUGAGGCACGAAAGCUAGGGGAGCGAACGGGAUUAGAUACCCCGGGUAGUCCUAGCUGUAAACGUUGAGCACUUGGUUGGAGAUCCCCUCCAUAGGUUUCCCAGCCGUAGCGAAAGUGUUAAGUGCUCCGCCUGGGGAGUAUGGUUCGCAAGGCUG